Molecule: ribosomal RNA, 600 nt
Filed under: uncultured Actinomycetes bacterium
Lineage: Bacteria; Bacillati; Actinomycetota; Actinomycetes
Description: bacterial SSU rRNA
Rfam family: Bacterial small subunit ribosomal RNA
Source: RNAcentral
GUGAGGUAAAAGCUCACCAAGGCAUCGACGGGUAGCUGGUCUGAGAGGACGAUCAGCCACACUGGGACUGAGACACGGCCCAGACUCCUACGGGAGGCAGCAGUAGGGAAUCUUGCACAAUGGGCGAAAGCCUGAUGCAGCGACGCCGCGUGGGGGAUGAAGGCCUUCGGGUUGUAAACCCCUUUCAGUAGGGACGAAAAUGACGGUACCUACAGAAGAAGCUCCGGCCAACUACGUGCCAGCAGCCGCGGUAACACGUAGGGAGCAAGCGUUGUCCGGAUUUAUUGGGCGUAAAGAGCUCGUAGGUGGUUCGGUAAGUCGGAUGUGAAAACUCAAGGCUCAACCUUGAGACGCCAUCCGAUACUGCUGUGACUUGAGUUCGGUAGAGGAGUGUGGAAUUCCUGGUGUAGCGGUGAAAUGCGCAGAUAUCAGGAGGAACACCGACAGCGAAGGCAGCACUCUGGGCCGAUACUGACACUGAGGAGCGAAAGCAUGGGGAGCAAACAGGAUUAGAUACCCUGGUAGUCCAUGCCGUAAACGUUGGGCACUAGGUGUGGGGAUUUAUCAACGAUCUCCGCGCCGUCGCUAACGCAUUAAGUG